CCUACGGGAGGCAGCAGUGAGGAAUAUUGGGCAAUGGACGGAAGUCUGAACCAGCCAAGCCGCGUGCAGGAUGAAGGCGCUAUGAGUUGUAAACUGCUUUUGUACGAGAAUAAGAGUUCUUACGUGUAGGGUUUUGCAUGUAUCGUGCGAAUAAGGAUCGGCUAACUCCGUGCCAGCAGCCGCGGUAAUACGGAGGAUUCGAGCGUUAUCCGGAUUUAUUGGGUUUAAAGGGUGCGUAGGCUGUCGGAUAAGUUAGAGGUCAAAGGUCGGGGCUUAACCCCGUGCCUGCCUCUGAUACUGUUCGACUAGAGGGCGGCUGCAGCCGGCGGAAUGUGUGGUGUAGCGGUGAAAUGCUUAGAUAUUACUCAGAACACCGAUUGCGCAGGCAGCUUGCUAAGCCGCAUCUGACGCUGAUGCACGAAAGCGUGGGUAGCGAACAGGAUUAGAUACCCGAGUAGUC
This 460-nucleotide ribosomal RNA is filed under the name uncultured bacterium. RNAcentral describes it as "partial 16S ribosomal RNA". It matches the Rfam family "Bacterial small subunit ribosomal RNA", at positions 338 to 795 of the family's 1533-position model. The record is from RNAcentral.